RNAcentral lists this transfer RNA (78 nucleotides) under Blastocatellia bacterium. RNAcentral describes it as "tRNA-Gly". It matches the Rfam family "tRNA". From Rfam's summary of the family: Transfer RNA (tRNA) molecules are approximately 80 nucleotides in length. Their secondary structure includes four short double-helical elements and three loops (D, anti-codon, and T loops). Further hydrogen bonds mediate the characteristic L-shaped molecular structure. tRNAs have two regions of fundamental functional importance: the anti-codon, which is responsible for specific mRNA codon recognition, and the 3' end, to which the tRNAs corresponding amino acid is attached (by aminoacyl-tRNA synthetases). tRNAs cope with the degeneracy of the genetic code in two manners: having more than one tRNA (with a specific anti-codon) for a particular amino acid; and 'wobble' base-pairing, i.e. permitting non-standard base-pairing at the 3rd anti-codon position. Lineage: Bacteria; Pseudomonadati; Acidobacteriota; Blastocatellia. The record is from RNAcentral.
GUGGAUGUAGUUCAAUUGGCCUAGAACGCGAGCUUGCCAGGUUCGAGGCUGUGGGUUCGAAUCCCAUCAUCCACACCA